GUUGAGUUGAUAGCAUAGGAUUGUAAAUAUUCAAGUUACAGACUUACAGUAACAACCAAAGCUGAGAGCGCCUUUAGGCAUCAAGUGCAGUAAGAAUCAGAGGAACAGCAGAAGCAUAUUAAAGUACUCAAGAACAUUUAAGCAAGAAAUGAAGAUCAUCUGGUGUAAAAUAAGGAGUAUUUGAAUUCUGCAUUACAGAUAAGCAAUGACAUUUGGGAUCAAAUAACUCAAAAGGGGAAAACACAUUUGCUUAGCACUCAAAUAAGACAAUGCCAACAAUGGGCAUUUGGUCUAGUGGUAUGAUUCUCGCUUUGGGUGCGAGAGGUCCCGAGUUCGAUUCUCGGAAUGCCCCAAAUUUUUAAGUGCCUUUUUUCAAGCCUGUACUCCUGAUGGUUAUAAAGGAUUUGAAGGCAAAUGUAGGAUAUCCGUUUAAUACUUUGCUGAACAUUCAAUAGUGAGAUUUGUGUUCUGGAAACUGCAGUAAGCACAUCAUGCAUUUAUGAAUUUGGUAGGAUUCCAAUGAUUAAUGGUUAUUCAUCUUAGACAGUUAAAAUUAAUUAGUUUAGUAAUCCAAACAGUUCUAGAACUGAUUCUUCUUUCUAGUGUAUUUUAGUAAACCACAUAUAUUGCUUGACUUGCACCUCUUUCCAGUCUCCUGUUCAGUAAAUAUUCUGAUGUAAAGUCAGCCAAGUCAAUCAGCCAAAAGUCAUUUUUUUUCAGAUAACAACAUUUAGGCCAAGAUGCAUCCUUAUCAAAUAAAGAAAAUGGAAUGGCAAGAUUUGAUGCUCUGAAAGCUAAUCUUUUCAGAACUACAAGAUAAAAAUAACAAAGCACGAGUGCUGGUAGUAGAUGGAUUUGUGCUCACCUCUCUAGUUUACAAGUAAGCCGAUCGGAACUCCAAAAUUCAACAUAGAAUUACCAAGAAAUCCCUAUAUACAAAAGAUUAAAUAGAUUAGCACAAGAAUUAUCUCACCUAUGAUAAGGAAAAUUUAAGGGUUUGCAGUUUUCCCUUCAGAAAAAAAUCAAAUGUUUGUUUUCCAUCAAAGUUUGUUGAUAUUAGACAUGCAGAUCAACAAUCAUAACUGAAAUAUUUAGUAGAAUGGUGUUUUUUUUUUUUAUUCAUUUGAUGAGGAGCAGAAAGGUGUUAUUAAAAAUCAAACAGUCUCAUUCUUUUUGGGCAAAAUUUCUCUGAUUUCCUACUCACAUCUGGAGUUAAAAUGGAUAACCUAGUGAUGAGUCAUUUUCUUUCAGUUUACAUGAGAAAUGUGCACCAUUUCUACAGUCCAGACAUAAUUAUGCUUUGUCAAUGCUUGCACUUUACUUUACCUAAUGUAUUGGCUUCAAGAGCACUUAGAGCCCGUUUGGAUUGACUUAAAAAAAGUAACUUUUUAAAGUGCUGGACUUAUUUUUAAAAUAAGUAGUUAUGUGUUUGGAUAAAAGUGCUGCAGUUGAAAAAAAAAGUUGUUGAUGUGUUUGGCAAAUAAGUGCUGGUAAACACUUUUUUUAUCAAAAUGUCUGAAAUACCCUUUAAGCUGUUAACAUGAUAAAAAGUUGAUUAAUUUAAGGUUUUUAUACUUUAAAAAAAAAUUAAAACAAAAUUAAUUUAUGUUUUACAUCCAUAAGUAAUAAUAUUUUUCUAUCAUUCACAUAUUUCUUUACCACCUUAUAAGAGGAAUAUAAAUUCAUAUUUCAGAAAUAAUAAUAAUAAUAAAAAAAAAUAAUAAUAAUAGUAAUAGUAAUAAUAAUAAACUAAUAAAAUAAUAAUAAUAAUAAUAAUAAUAAAAUAAUAAAAUAAUAAAAUAAUAAUAAUAAUAAUAAUAAUAAUAAUAAUAAUAAUAAUAAUAAUAAUAAUAAUAAUAAUAAUAAUAAUAAUAAUAGUAAUAGUAAUAAUAAUAAUAAUAAUAAAAUAAUAAAAUAAUAAUAGUAAUAGUAAUAGUAAUAAUAAUAAUAAUAUUUAUAAUAAUAAUAAUAAUAAACAUAAUAAUAAAAUAAUAAUAAUAAUAAUAAUAAUAAUUCAAUAUGGCCAAUUUGAAAAUUGUAUAAAAGAAUUAAGGGCAAAAAGGUAAUAUACUUGGUCGACAUAAAAGAGCUUUUAAGUUUUAAAAAAAAAAGCUCCCCUCCCCUGGCUUUUAGCUUUUGGCUUAAAAUAAGUCAUUUUUGACUUAAAAUAAGUCACUUUGAUAAUUGCCAAACACUCUAAUAAGUCAAAAACUGACUUUUAAGCCAGUUUGACCAGCUUAAAAGCCCAUCCAAACAGGCUCUUAGUUGUUUCCCUUAAGUUAGGUGUUUUGAUCAUAAGUCAUCUAAGACACUCAGCCAAAUGUCUUCAUAAAAAAAUACUUACAGGCAAAAUGCUUUCUAUCCACGCUCAUGGACCACCAAAUGACACGAGUCACCUAAAGCUGAAUAAGGUAAUUCUAGAUGUAUAAGCUAAAAAUUAAUACAUCAUGAAUACCUGCAACAGUACAGAGUUGGGCUUGCAUGUUCAGUUUACUGAUAAAAUCUGAAACUCCAAAGUUCAGAGUCAAGCUAUCCAGGGAUCCCUGAAUAUAAAAUGGUAAAUGGUAAGUUCAAGUAUCUCAACUGUCAUAAGCCAUCAUUUCAGAUAUGCUUUCAAUUUUUGCCAUCUGUUUCCAAUUUGAUUAAGCAGGCAAAACUUAAAAGUUAAGUUAGUAAUCGGUUUUCAUUUAUAUCAAAGAUUCAUCAAGUUUGGAUUAUAACAUCAAUUAGGGAUCAAGGGUGUUUUGCCUUGAUCACUGACGAUCAAUGGCUAAGAGGUCUUUCACAAAAUUGAGGUAAAAGUUCUCUGGAAUUUCACGUUAAAAUGAGGAGUUACAUGGGUAUCCAUAGUUCAGAUACCCAUUUUCAUUUCAAUUUAGUGAACUAAAGAUGCAUAAACAUCAUUGUACCAUGCAGUGUUAUCAAAGACGAAAAGCGCAAAAAACUCUAAGGUCCGUGGGGCUUUAAGCGCAAAUAAAGCUUGGGCUUUAAUGAAAAAUGGCGCAAAGGGAGAAAAAAAAUUACAAAUAUAUAUGUUUGGUCCAAGACUAAUAAUUAUAUGAAUGACAAAUAUAUGACCAAAGAAAUUGAAUUUUUUUAAUGAUAAAGUGAAAUAUCAAUUGUUUAGUGUCACUUCUUCAUAAGAGGCACAUUGGUAAGGAAAAAUUUGCGUUAGAACCUUGAUGACAACACUGAAGUGAGGCAAAGCGCUCAAUACGUUUUGAGCCUCGCUUUAGGGCUUAAGCGCGCCUUUGAUAACACUGGUACCAUGUUGUUUUGUACCAAUUUACAUACCAUGAGCUACGUUGUUUCAUGAAAACAAGUGAAAAGAAUGUAAGAUAAGGAAGGUAGCUAAAAGAAAAUUGAUAAUAAGAGAACCCAACGAGAAAGCCCGUGUUUAACUACAAAUGUGAUAUUUAUAAUUUUAGUGGAAGCAUUCUUUACUUCAGCUGUGACUUAACUCAAACUAUGAUGUUCAAAUAUGCGAUACUGAUACAGCUAAUGACAGAAUCCUGGCCUCAUGUCCAUUGACAGUUCUCAAUCAGUAGACAGUUUCAAUGGUUUUUUUAUUUCAGAUGCUGAAAAGAUUGAGAAUGAUAGAAAAGGACUGUAAAGAGACAAGCACCAGUAAUAAUGAAAGAAGGUACAAUCUUUAAGCACGAGGGCAGCACAAAUCAGAGUAAGCUGCAAAGGCGUCAUAUUUUAAGCAACCCCUCUGAGUAUCUAAUUAUCUCCCAUAUACAAUGGGAGCCAGCAAAAGUACCAAAUGAAGUUGUUAUUUUUAAAAAGGAAGCUACCAAAGAAUAUUAAAGUAAGCAAAUGCAGAUCAACUGGUAUGAAAUACGGAGCAUCUGAAGUCUAAGUUGAAGAUAAGCGGUACACAUUUACAAUCAAAUAACUCAAAAGGAGAAAUUGCCUCAACAAAACAGGUUUUAUUUCCAGAAAGAUCCCUUAAGGCUCAAAGAGGACAACUAGGGAUACUUAAUGCAAAUUGUAGGCAUGGAAAACCUAUUAUCCUAUCCUAAACCAAGCAUUUCUACAAACAAUUAAAACAAGUCCUAGACAAAGUUUGCAAAGAAAUUUUCAUUAAGUUUCAUCAGACAUGGCACAUGUUAGUUUAGAUGGGUCCCUUCCAACUCACAAUCAAGAAUAAAUGAAACAAAAUCGCAUAAAUCAAACCACUACCAAGUAGUGAGCAAAGAGUAAACAAAUGACCAAGUGUCACUAAUAAGACCAUUUCUCUCAACGUUACCCACUUUUCCAGUAAAAAAUCAAGGGAGGUAGUUCACAAAUUUGACAAAGACUCACAUGAAAGAGUCUAAUUAGUGGUACCAGAAAAACAAGUUAGCCAAAGAGAGCAAUCCAACAAAACCAUAUUUUUAUUCCCUAUUAGCUACUAACUACCCCUAAACACACCCAGUUCAAAAAAUCACUUUUUUGGAAAAGAACUGUGGCUUAAAGAAAAAAACAAGGAGCUUAUUGAAAUCAAAUGACAAGGUAAACCUAGGAAAGUAUAAAACAAGUAACAUAAUGCAUGCAGCAAGCACUCAUACAAAGGAAAAAAGUCAAAACCUUAUAAACUAAAGAGAAAACACACAGUAUUCCAAAAUAUUAUCUCAUUAAUCACUUGGAGAACUAUUGAUAAUUUAACAUGUCAGACUAUGAAUCACAGGAAAAAUAAGAGACUAUCCAUUUUAAAGGUUCACAAUUCAGCCAUGGGAUGAAUAUCAAAGUUACAGUGAGGGAACAGGCUUCACAUGUAGAUUUUGAUACCACAUGAAAGAAUCUAAACUUUUAAUUGAAAUGGUAAAAUCAAGGAAAAAACCAAGUACUUUUUAGUACAUUAAUUUUACUAAGGUUGCAUUUUUAUUUCCUAGAAGUUGCACAUAUAUGCGCUCACAGGCUAAUUGUAACAGCCUGAUUAACCGUUGCCAUGAGGCAGGUGCAAACUCGGCCCAUUGGCCUCCUUACAGACAAUUCUCCACCCUGCCCACCACCAACUGUAAAGAUAAACAUUUGACCUUGCUUUGAAGCUAAUUAAGAGAAUCCAAGGACACAAUUCAAAAUGCUAAAGGCAAUAAGUGAAGUAGUUUAAGAUGUUAAUAACCUUUUCGGAUGCUCUUAUGUGAAUGCCAUAUAUCUCCGGCACAAACUAUGCUUUCUU
This 5164-nucleotide long non-coding RNA is filed under the name Solanum tuberosum (potato). RNAcentral's name for it is "long non-coding RNA (STUB_LNC002408)". The stretch from base 281 to 352 matches the Rfam family "tRNA". The record is from RNAcentral. Lineage: Eukaryota; Viridiplantae; Streptophyta; Magnoliopsida; Solanales; Solanaceae.